Molecule: long non-coding RNA, 4540 nt
Organism: Symphalangus syndactylus (siamang)
Lineage: Eukaryota; Metazoa; Chordata; Mammalia; Primates; Hylobatidae
Source: RefSeq, a predicted model, not a curated record
AAUAUAACAAUAGAAAUAUAUUAGCAUGGAAAUUUAUAGGCACACCAUAAAUUAGGCUUUAGAAUGAAGUGUAAUGAGUGUCAGCUGCAGCAAUUUAUUCCUUAAAAUGCAAAACAAACUUUACUAGCUAAAUUCACGACAGAAAGGAAUUAUGAAAAAUCACAUUUCUUUACUGUAUCCAAUUCCAGUGUACUUUCAAUUAGAUAAGAGUUUGAUUCAGGUGAGGAUCCAGAAAAUAUAUAAUGCCUGAAAAACAGAUACACUUGUAGCCACAGGGCAUUGUUAUAUGAGAAUGAAGUAAUUAGAUCUCUAAAUUACUCCAUUGUUUAAUUCAAUUCAAUUAAAUAUAUCCUCUAAAUAUCUCUGGUAUUUUCAGCAAUUUUCCUUAGUCAUUACAAGAAACAGAAAGUCAAGAAAGAGUUAUCAUUCUGGGCAGGCCCAAUCUUAUCUUUUUAGACUCUUUAGGUGGGGUUGGGAGAGAGGUCUAUCCCUUCCUCAGAAUCUGUGCUUCUAUUUUAGAAUCCUGUACGGUUCUGAGGCAGAUACCUUACAGUACAAGAGUCAUUUAUCCUGACAGGCACUGUCCUUCUUCUCGUCAGCAUGACCGUGAGGACUGGGAUGAGCUUGAAUGAGUCCAAGUUCUACAUGGGGUUCCGAGAUCUUCCUUGAGCCACACUGUUUCUGGAAUGCCUAGGAAAAUCCCUGCUUCAGAGCCCUCACAGCAGGAGUUACAUUUUCAUGCCUUCUUUACUCAAAUAAUUCCAAGAGUACUUUGAAGUAGAAGAGCAAGGCAGAAGAGGAGAGCCAGAGUGAAAUGUGACUACGGAAGAAACACACAGAGACCGGCAGCUUUGCUAGUGUUGAAGACGCAGGAAGAAAGCCGUGAACCAACAAUGAAUGUGGAUGGCCCACAGAAGCAAGAAAGGGCCAAAAAAUAAACUUACCCCUAGAACAACCUGAUGGGAAUGCAGUCCUGCCAAUAUCCUGAUUUUAGCCCAGUGAGACCCAUUACACAGUGGGUCUACAUGACCUUACACAACCAAAAGGCAGUACGAUUGUGUUGUUUUAAGCUCUUAAAUGUGUGGCAAUUUGUUACAGCAGCAAUAAAAAACUAACACCUAUCUAAAGUUUAAUCAACUUCUCAACAUUCCUUUCCCCUUUCCGCUGUUUUAUUUUUGCCAUAGCAUUAAUUUCUUACUAAUGUACAUUAUGGUUUUUUCAUUUUUCUUAUUAAUGCUGUGUCUCAUUGGAAUGCAAGUUCUGAGAAGGAUGUAAGAACAGAUAUGUUUGCCUUUUUUGCUGACUGCGGUAUCCCCACCACCCACAAGUGUGCCUAGAGCAUGAUAAAUAUUUUAUUAAAAUUUUUGAAUGAAUACAUUGAAUAUAUAUGUGUGUGUGUGUGUGUGUGUGUGUGUGUCUGUGUGCUGAUUGGUUAUAUUUAAUUUAGAUUCUCUCUAUUGCUUUAUCUUGUGCUUGUUAAGGACCUUUCUUAUUUACUUACUGAGUUAUUCAAUAAUUACUACUUCUGCCCUCCAGUAAAUCAUCUUGCAGCCCUGAGUUCUCACUUUCUUAACUCCAGUUUACUUGAUCCUUCUCCCUAUAAUUUCAUACCACAUUUGAAGCAAAAAUUGCCCUUUUUAGAGCACUUUUUAAAACACCUGCUCACUCAGAAAGUAUAUCAGGAACAAAGGCAUUUAGUGAUUCUUGAUAUGCACUUGUUAAACAUUGCUGAGUGGUCAGCACAGUGAACAUAACGGAUUACAUUGUAAAAUCUUUUAUGAUAUAUUUAAUCUUAAUUUGUUUUUGAUGAAUAACAACAAAACAUAUUAAUCUUAUAAUUAGCAAUAAAUGAAAAACAUAAGUUUAUAAUAUUUGGUAAAGUAAUGACUAUAUAUGUUGCAGAGACAAGAAGGUCAUACAUACACAGAUGCCUUUAUAUGUUUUUACCCUAGAAAACUUAAAAAGAUUCAUCCAUUUUCCUACCUAGAUUUUAUUUUGCUUUUGAUCACUUUUCUUACCUUAAUUUAUAUUUCAAUAUGGUAUUUCAUCUUCAAUAUUAUACUUUUAAAAGUACUAGCUUCUAAGGAAAAUAAAAUUGAAUUUAUUCUUGAAAUCAUUUUUCAUAUGUAUAAUGUGGUAUCUACUUUAUUCAUAUUAUGUUAGAUAGUAGGCAAUAGUUUGGAGUGGCUGAUUGCCCUGUUCAUACUAUUCCAAGCAAUAUCUAAAGACAAAUGCACUGAACAAACUGAGUUAAACUUUCUCUGCUGAAAUUUGCAGCUUAUUUAGUGGCUUAUGAGAGGAAACACACACACAGAUUGAAUAGAAAAGGAUUUUUCCCCAUUAAAACAUCCUUAUGUAUUCUCAUUGUGAUUACACGGAGGUCAUUUUUCAAAAUGCCAAAUGGUUUCUUAUCAGAAUAAGAAUGACACAAGCUGUGGUCUGACUUAUGUGACAUUGAAUCUCAAAAUGAGUCACUAAAGUAAAUUAAAAAGUGAGAGUUUUGAAGCAAGUUAGCAUUCCCUCCUGAAUCCUGCCUUGUAGAGUGUCAUGAUGUAUUGAACUAUCAAGAACAUACUAUACAAAACACACACACACAGUUAGUAUUUACUCCAGAAUUACGUUAUUAUAAAAUCAAUGAGUUGACAUCAUGUAUGAAAUUUUCCAUGCAAGGCGUCAGGGAAAAUUCUGUAUAGUCAAACUCAGCAUUAGUCCAUCCCAUUGGGUAAUUACAGCAUUCAAAACUCAUGCCAAUUAUUAUGGCCAUUUAUGUGCAUAAUAACAUCUGUCAAUCUUCCAGCUAUAUUUAUCUUAUACAAGUAAUAGUGCUGUCUCAUGUAGAAAUGAGAAAUAUGUUAAUUAAAGCAAAUUGAAAUUUUUAUUUCCCAUAAUUUGAAUGACUAUCUGAAGAAUUGGAAAAUAAGUGAUUAAAAUAAAAACAGAUAUCUAAGAUUUUAAAAUAAAGUUUGCUCUAAUUUUUAGAUCAUUUUAAUUAGUUCUCAAAUAGAGUCCAAACAAAAUAGCACACCAUUUCCUUUACUAUGGUUUUGCAAAUACAGUUGUGAUGAUAAUUGGUCAAUAUUGUUUGGCAGAGGCCAAUUUCAUCUGAAAGUUUAUGAGUUUGGUCUGUGUUAGUUCUGUAAAGAUUGGCUUUAAUUCCAAAAAUCACCUUAUAAGCCAUCGACCAAAUGCUUUCUGUUUUGUUUUGCAAUAUGAAUAAUAAUAGUCAUCGCAGGGGUAUUAAAAAACAUCCUUAGAAACCCCUUACCUUCAUCCAAAGUUGUAUUUAAAUCUACAGGUGAAGAAACCUAAAGUAGAAUGGUAAACUUCAUCCACGACCCAAACUGGCAAAUAAAGAUAACCCAAAAUAUUUUUUGUCAGCAAGCACAAUGUUUUGUAGUAGUUGUUAUGCCUGUUUUUGUUUUUUUCAUGAUGUGAGGAUGAAAUGAACAGAGUUUGAAAACAUCUCUGUUUAGAAGCUCCAUUUCAUUUUGAAUAAUAAUUCCCUCUAAUAACUUUUUUUUAACUUUCUGCCUUACCAGUUGGCUAUUCAAUAUCAUAUGGUACAGUUUACUUCAGACCCAGAGCUUUUCCUCAAGUUGUUAUUAUAAUUUUUACAACUAAAAUGCAAAACAUCUAUUUGUAUUAUUAUUAAACCAGAUUUAAUUUAUUCAUUUAUUAAAGAAUACUAAACAACCUGAGGACAUAAAUAAAACAUACUUUUUAACGGAGAGUGAAAAACAAUCCUUUCAUCAUGAUUUUAUCUUCUGUAUUCAAUGGUUUGACCUGGCAGUUGUUUGUUUGUUUGUUUAUUCUUCAAGCAAUUUAAAAAAGAAAAACUAUCCUGAGAAGGACAUCCAUCUAUAUGCUAUGAGCUAAUUAUCGCUGGUGCUUUUCUAAUCAGAUGACGUAGCCAAGUCAAGUAAAUAUUCUUGAAUUUGUUAAUCUAUAGAACUAGAUUGUAAUACUAUAUGUUUCACAGGAUUUUUGUUAAAACUAAGUGGAAUAAUUUGUGAAAUGUUAUGCCCAACAUCUGGUAAACAGUAGGCUGAGCGCGUUCAGGGAGCAGGUCAGUUUCGAUUACCUUCAUGCUUAGGACAAUGCCUGGGACACUGCAGGAACUCAAUUACAAUUGUUCAUUGAAUCAGUGAAUAUAUGAAUAAAACCUACUUUCUAUUUUUGACAUCUAAUCAGGGUUUAUUAGUGCAAAGACACAGAAUUGGGGAUGGAGAUAAAUCAAUGAAAAUGAAAGCAGAGUCAUCAUAUAGAAAUAUCAAGAACAGUAAAUAUCCAGGUAGUUAAAGUAACAUUUGUUCGGAGGACGUAGAUAAUUUAAAGAGAAAUUCUGUCUUUAUAUAUUAGGUUUAUAUAUUACUAAAAAUAGUGAUUAUCUAGCUCUUUAAAAUGUUGACUGCCUGAAGUUCUAGAACAUAGAGGGAGAACUGUGAUUUUGUUUUGUUUCAUUUUUAGUUUGUAUGUGUUAACAAAAUACUACUGCUAAAGUGUCCUGCUCCAUCGACUUUAACCGAUAUCCACCAACUGG